This 1133-nucleotide long non-coding RNA is filed under the name Mus spicilegus (steppe mouse). RNAcentral describes it as "lncRNA (ENSMSIG00000013879.1)". Lineage: Eukaryota; Metazoa; Chordata; Mammalia; Rodentia; Muridae. The record is from RNAcentral.
GAAACAGUCCUUCUUCCUCAGAAGGCCACUGCAUGUGACCAAUGCCCAAACUGAGCACUGGUCAAAUAUCUUAUGAGCUUUAUGAUUAUCAACUUUCCCACAAUAUCUUUCAUUAGAAGACAUCUCCACUUUACACAAAACACUGUCUUAUCCAAACCCAUAUUCAUGUACAACUGUCUGUGUACUGACAGCAUCAAAAUUCACACCAUCCAGUGGAACUAAUACAGGUCCAAUGUAAGUGGCUCCCAGUGACCUCUCCAAAAGGAAAGGAUGAAGUCAUUUGCAAUGUUGGUGGAACAAGACAUUCGAGUGAAGUCCCAAAGGCACAGCCUUCCCCGCGAGUCCCCUCUGCACCCGGGACCUGGGAGCACACAGAACAGGAAAACAAACCGAAACUCACUGACCUCUCUCAGCAGCAGGCUCGGCUCUGUUACGCCGCCGGCGGCUGCAGCAACGUCGGAAGCAUCCCGGGGGUCCGCACUGCCCGCUGCGCUCUGCUAGACGAGCGCUGAGGGCCGGCUGCUGCCUGCUCCUCCCGCCGCAGGUUGCGGGGCAGCGCGGGCAGAGUGGCGGCAGCGCCUCCCGCAGCCCAGCCCUGCUCGUCUCUCCUUUGGCUUCAGGCGGCGCCCUCCACCUGCCCGGCUGUCCUCCGCCUCCACGAUCGGACACCCGCCGCCAGGCACCGGACACUGAGCGGAAGCUUUUGGUGUCACCCCCAGAGACCCAAGCACUGAAGGGAGCGCGAGGCUGAGUGAGCUCUGCUCCGCGGACCGCCCCUCCCCGGCGGCUCCACCCCCUCCCGCACUCCACCCGGCAGCUUGGCCGGCACGUCCGACUGUCUGUCUGUCGGUCGGUCCCCAGUGGCCAACCUCUUGGUGUGGGUGGGGAAGCAGGGACGCGCCCUCUACCCACCGUAGACCCGCGAGCACCUGGACCGAGCACGGAAGGAGGACCUGAACCGUAUCAGGUGUGACCUAGAGGCCGAGCACCACAGGCUAGAACGACUGGGACUGGUCGAGGUGGUGACCCAGCUGCGGCUCUGGACUCAAGACCACAGGGGAGAGGGAGGAGUCUAGGCUAUUGCCUUUCCCCUGGGUUCUUUUUGGCUGCCCCUGAAAGUUCACUAACCCAAC